This 386-nucleotide ribosomal RNA is filed under the name uncultured bacterium. Its description in RNAcentral is "bacterial SSU rRNA". It matches the Rfam family "Bacterial small subunit ribosomal RNA", at positions 29 to 416 of the family's 1533-position model. The record is from RNAcentral.
AUUGAACGCUGGCGGCAUGCCUUACACAUGCAAGUCGAACGGCAGCACGGGAGCAAUCCUGGUGGCGAGUGGCGAACGGGUGAGUAAUACAUCGGAACGUGCCCAAUAGUGGGGGAUAGCCCGGCGAAAGCCGGAUUAAUACCGCAUACGACCUACGGGUGAAAGCGGGGGAUCGCAAGACCUCGCGCUACUGGAGCGGCCGAUGUCGGAUUAGCUAGUUGGUGGGGUAAAGGCCUACCAAGGCUACGAUCCGUAGCUGGUCUGAGAGGACGACCAGCCACACUGGGACUGAGACACGGCCCAGACUCCUACGGGAGGCAGCAGUGGGGAAUUUUGGACAAUGGGCGCAAGCCUGAUCCAGCCAUGCCGCGUGCGGGAAGAAGGCC